Chloroflexi bacterium GWC2_70_10 is the source of this 86-nucleotide non-coding RNA. NCBI's taxonomy places the organism in Bacteria, Bacillati, Chloroflexota. The record is from Rfam.
GCCGGAGUGGCGAAAUCGGCAUCCGCGCCUGCCUCAAGAGCAGGUGGGCCGCAAGGCCCGUGAGGGUUCGAGUCCCUCCUCCGGCA